This is a long non-coding RNA of Mus musculus (house mouse), 936 nucleotides long. RefSeq annotates it as predicted gene, 39728. Lineage: Eukaryota; Metazoa; Chordata; Mammalia; Rodentia; Muridae. The record is from RefSeq and is a predicted model, not a curated record. The transcript is spliced from 5 exons.
GGGGAGCGCGCGGCUCCCGCAGGCCGCGGGGCGGGAAGGCGGGCGAGGACGCGGGGACCGAGCCGCGGGGACGCCGGUCGGGCGCGGAGGGCCGCGGCGGGCUGAGUGGAGAGCGGGCGCCCCGGAGCUGCCUCAGCGCGGCGCCCGGCGAGCGCGGCCCUGACAGCGCCUCCCGCACGCCGCCUCAGAUGUUCUGAAACCUAAACAAAAAUCAAGUAUGUCUCAUGAAGAUGUAUCACCUAAGGACGGGAGAGGUGGCUCAGCAGGGCCGGAAGCAAAGGAGAUGGCCAAUCACAGGCUGAAGCUUCCACCGCCAUGGACCAGAAGAGACCUUUCCUCUUUGCAAGUCAGUGUAGCUUGGACAUUUGUUGCAGAAGCAGGAAACUGGCUAACACCCCCUUCUCACUUGUGUUGCUUUGAGACAAGAUCUUGGUCAGUGGGCUGUGCUUGUCUCCAACGUGAGAUUCUACUUCUCAGCAUCAGAGAUGACUCUAGCUUGUACGGAGCUGACAGAAAACCAGCCCACAUAGAAAGAUACUCAAUCUAGGCUCCAUUGCAAAUGCAGGAUGGGCGUGUCUAAGGACCAGCUGCUGGUCUUGGCUUUCCCAGUGUGAAGGAGCCUACCCUGAACUCUGAGCUGAAGCAAACCAUUUCUCCCUUAAGCUGCUUUGUCAGUGUUUUAUCACAACAGGAAAGGAAACUAAGACAAGAAGGUGUGAUCAGAUUUGCUUAAGAAGAGUCGGGACCAGGACAAACCUCCCCAGAGGCAUUGGUGGGUCACCAUCUGUUAGAGCUGCUGGGAUGCCUGGAGUACUGAACUCUGCAAAGAUGAGAAGUAAUAGUUAAGUAACAUGGUGACUGGAACGUGUGUAUUCUCCAUAAGAAUUAACUGCUGCCAUGUGUGUUUGGUGAAGCUGUUUAAGUAGAAACUGGAGA